UAGCCCCUAGCUGAGUGUCUUGAUGGAGAUC
Molecule: non-coding RNA, 31 nt
Filed under: Rattus norvegicus (Norway rat)
Lineage: Eukaryota; Metazoa; Chordata; Mammalia; Rodentia; Muridae
Source: RNAcentral